GACGAACGCUGGCGGCGUGCCUAAUACAUGCAAGUAGAACGCUGAAGGAGGAGCUUACUUCUCUGGAUGAGUUGCGAACGGGUGAGUAACGCGUAGGUAACCUGCCUGGUAGCGGGGGAUAACUAUUGGAAACGAUAGCUAAUACCGCAUAAGAGUAGAUGUUGCAUUACAUUUACUUAAAAGGUGCAAUUGCACCACUACCAGAUGGACCUGAGUUGUAUUAGCUAGUUGGUGGGGUAACGGCUUACCAAGGCGACGAUACAUAGCCGACCUGAGAGGGUGAUCGGCCACACUGGGACUGAGACACGGCCCAGACUCCUACGGGAGGCAGCAGUAGGGAAUCUUCGGCAAUGGACGGAAGUCUGACCGAGCAACGCCGCGUGAGUGAAGAAAGUUUUCGGAUCGUAAAGCUCUGUUGUAAGAGAAGAACGAGUGUGAGAGUGGAAAGUUCACACUGUGACGGUAUCUUACCAGAAAGGGACGGCUAACUACGUGCCAGCCGCCGCCGUAA
This 511-nucleotide ribosomal RNA is filed under the name uncultured bacterium. RNAcentral describes it as "partial 16S ribosomal RNA". It matches the Rfam family "Bacterial small subunit ribosomal RNA", at positions 28 to 523 of the family's 1533-position model. The record is from RNAcentral.